UCUGUGGUGACUUAGUUGGUAAAGAACCUGCCUGCAAUGCAGGAGACCCACGUUCAACCCCUGGAUGGAGAA
Molecule: transfer RNA, 72 nt
Filed under: Bos taurus (domestic cattle)
Lineage: Eukaryota; Metazoa; Chordata; Mammalia; Artiodactyla; Bovidae
Also listed under: 3 other names
Rfam family: tRNA
About the family: Transfer RNA (tRNA) molecules are approximately 80 nucleotides in length. Their secondary structure includes four short double-helical elements and three loops (D, anti-codon, and T loops).
Source: Rfam by way of RNAcentral